Molecule: ribosomal RNA, 497 nt
Filed under: uncultured bacterium
Lineage: Bacteria
Description: partial 16S ribosomal RNA
Rfam family: Bacterial small subunit ribosomal RNA (bases 61-497)
Source: RNAcentral
GGGGGGGGGGGGGGGGGUGGGGGGGGGGGGGAGGGGGGGGGGAGGGGCGGGGGGGGGGGGGCGGUGGGGGGAGCGGGGGGGGGGGGGGGGACGCGGGGGUAGACUAGCUAUAAAGCGGGGAUAACGUGGUGGCAACGUGGCGCAUAGCGGAUAAUAUUUUGAACCGCGUGGUGCCCAAGUGAAAUACGGUCUUGCGUGCAGUGCUCGAUACAUCCGCGCUGCAUUAGCUAGUUGGGAAGGUAACGGCUUACCAAGGCAACGAUGCAUAGCCGACCUGAGAGGGUGAUCGGCCACACUGGAACUGAGCCACGGUCCAGACUCCUACGGGAGGCAGCAGUAGGGAAUCUUCCGCAAUGGGCGAAAGCCUGACGGAGCAACGCCGCGUGAGUGAUGAAGGUCUUCGGAUCGUAAAACUCUGUUAUUAGGGAAGAACAUAUGUGUAAGUAACUGUGCACAUCUUGACGGUACCUAAUCAGAAAGCCACGGCUAACUACGUG